Molecule: non-coding RNA, 135 nt
Organism: Triticum aestivum (bread wheat)
Lineage: Eukaryota; Viridiplantae; Streptophyta; Magnoliopsida; Poales; Poaceae
Source: Rfam
AAGAUACUCCCUCCGUUCCGAAUCACUUGUCUUAGAUUUGUCUAGAUACGGAUGUAUCUAGCACUAAAAUGACUCUAGAUACAUCCGUAUCUAGACAAAUCCAAGACAAGUAAUUUAGAACGGAGGGAGUAUAAG